RNAcentral lists this ribosomal RNA (750 nucleotides) under uncultured bacterium. RNAcentral describes it as "bacterial SSU rRNA". It matches the Rfam family "Bacterial small subunit ribosomal RNA", at positions 43 to 782 of the family's 1533-position model. The record is from RNAcentral.
CAGGCCUAACACAUGCAAGUCGAGCGGACUUAUCCUUCGGGAUAGGUUAGCGGCGGACGGGUGAGUAACACGUAGGCAACCUGCCUGUAAGAUCGGGAUAACUACCGGAAACGGUAGCUAAGACCGGAUAGCUGGUUUCUCCGCAUGGGGGGAAUCAUGAAACAUGGGGCAACCUAUGGCUUACGGAUGGGCCUGCGGCGCAUUAGCUAGUUGGUGGGGUAAUGGCCCACCAAGGCGACGAUGCGUAGCCGACCUGAGAGGGUGAUCGGCCACACUGGGACUGAGACACGGCCCAGACUCCUACGGGAGGCAGCAGUAGGGAAUCUUCCGCAAUGGGCGCAAGCCUGACGGAGCAACGCCGCGUGAGUGAUGAAGGUUUUCGGAUCGUAAAGCUCUGUUGCCAAGGAAGAACGCCUCGGAGAGUAACUGCUCUGAGGGUGACGGUACUUGAGAAGAAAGCCCCGGCUAACUACGUGCCAGCAGCCGCGGUAAUACGUAGGGGGCAAGCGUUGUCCGGAAUUAUUGGGCGUAAAGCGCGCGCAGGCGGUCUUUUAAGUUGGGUGUUUAAGCCCGGGGCUCAACCCCGGUUCGCACUGAAAACUGGGAGACUUGAGUGCAGGAGAGGAAAGCGGAAUUCCACGUGUAGCGGUGAAAUGCGUAGAGAUGUGGAGGAACACCAGUGGCGAAGGCGGCUUUCUGGACUGUAACUGACGCUGAGGCGCGAAAGCGUGGGGAGCAAACAGGAUUAGA